RNAcentral lists this small RNA (1047 nucleotides) under Pan troglodytes (chimpanzee). Its description in RNAcentral is "processed transcript". The record is from RNAcentral. Lineage: Eukaryota; Metazoa; Chordata; Mammalia; Primates; Hominidae.
GUCGCUGCAGGACCCGCGGGACCGCUUCGAGCUGCUGCAGCGCGUGGGGGCCGGGACCUAUGGCGACGUCUACAAGGUGCGACGGGACGGGCGGGAGAGCCGGGAGGAGGGUGCCAGCCCCGCACCCCGCGGCAGGAUCUAGCCCCCGGCCCCGCCCCACACCGCUUCACCCUCCGCCCCUGCAGGCCCGCGACACGGUCACGUCCGAACUGGCCGCCGUGAAGAUAGUCAAGCUAGACCCAGGGGACGACAUCAGCUCCCUCCAGCAGGAAAUCACCAUCCUGCGUGAGUGCCGCCACCCCAAUGUGGUGGCCUACAUUGGCAGCUACCUCAGGUGAGGCUGCCUUAUCCUCCUGGCCCCAGGCAGCCCCCAUGUGACCUGCUUUGUGCCCACCCCAGCUCUUUGUCCCUAGGAAUGACCGCUUGUGGAUCUGCAUGGAGUUCUGCGGAGGGGGCUCCCUGCAGGAGAUUUACCAUGCCACUGGGCCCCUGGAGGAGCGGCAGAUUGCCUACGUCUGCCGAGAGGCACUGAAGGGGCUCCACCACCUGCAUUCUCAGGGGAAGAUCCACAGAGACAUCAAGCUGACUUUGGGGUGUCAGGCGAGCUGACAGCGUCUGUGGCCAAGAGGAGGUCUUUCAUUGGGACUCCCUACUGGUGAGGCUGCGCCUGGGGCGGAGGGGUAGGGGCCACAGAGCGGGGCACCCGGCCAUCCCAUCUGUGACUCCACCUCUAGGAUGGCUCCCGAGGUGGCUGCUGUGGAGCGCAAAGGUGGCUACAAUGAGCUAUGUGACGUCUGGGCCCUGGGCAUCACUGCCAUUGAGCUGGGCGAGCUGCAGCCCCCUCUGUUCCACCUGCACCCCAUGAGGUCAGCCCAACACUUGCCCCUCACCUGACCCUUGAUCUGCGGCCUGUGGCCCCUGACCUCGCGCCCUCCACAGGGCCCUGAUGCUCAUGUCGAAGAGCAGCUUCCAGCCGCCCAAACUGAGAGAUAAGACUCGCUGGACCCAGAAUUUCCACCACUUUCUCAAACUGGCCCUGACCAAGAA